Molecule: ribosomal RNA, 253 nt
Filed under: uncultured bacterium
Lineage: Bacteria
Description: partial 16S ribosomal RNA
Rfam family: Bacterial small subunit ribosomal RNA
Source: RNAcentral
UACGUAGGGCGCAAGCGUUGUCCGGAAUCACUGGGCGUAAAGGGCGCGUAGGUGGUGUCGUAAGUCUGUGGUGAAAGCCCGGGGCUCAACCCCGGGUCUGCCGCGGAGACUGCGAGACUCGAGUACUGUAGGGGCUGGUAGAAUGCCGGGUGUAGCGGUGGAAUGCGUAGAGAUCCGGAAGAACACCGGUGGCGAAGGCGGCCUGCUGGGCAGUAGCUGACACUGAGGCGCGACAGCGUGGGGAGCAAACAGG